Molecule: non-coding RNA, 45 nt
Organism: Schistosoma mansoni
Lineage: Eukaryota; Metazoa; Platyhelminthes; Trematoda; Strigeidida; Schistosomatidae
Source: Rfam
AUUCAGCUGACGAGUCCCAAAUAGGACGAAACGCGCAUCCUGGAU